GAUACAAGCAGAGGUUUGACAGGCACUGGUGCAUCGGGGCUUGCUCCCUCUUGCUGCUGGGACCCCUUCUGCUAUCACAGGAAGAAGUCUGGGCUAGUCUACUGGAAGGUGAGACCAGGGGGAGCAAAGACAAGUCAGGCCUGCUGAGUUCCACUAGUUCCCAGUUAUUCUCAACCAAAGGACAACUUGGUCCUCCAGGGAAGAUCUGGUAAUGACUGGAGAUAUUUUUGGCUGUCCUACUGGCAUCUAGUGGGCAGAGGUCAGAGAUGCUGCUACACAUCUUAUAAUGUGCGGGACAGUCCCCCCAUAACAAAGAGUUACCCGGUCCCAAAUGUCAGCAGUGCUGAGGUUGAAAAACCUGCCCAUGAGCAACCAACCCACAGCUGACCUCCCAGCUGACUGCAGCCCUGUGAGUGAACCCAGUCUGUGAGGCUGAGACCUGGAGGAUCAGGAGGAGUUCAUCGAGGGUAGGGUGCAGAGCAUGCUGAAUGGCCUGUGCAGGGGCUGGAGGAGAGACAGCAUGGGCUCAAUGCAAGUGGUUCAGCAGCAGCUCAAAGGCCAUGAGCAGAAUCUGGAAAGGCAAGAGAGGAGGCCAGAGAAGCGAGCAGGGGCCAGAACUCCAGACGAAUUCAACUGCUUCCUGAGGACAGUAGGAUAUAAUUAGAACCUUUAAUUUAAGCAAGCAACCUGCAUACCUGAGCCACGAGGCUACAGUUCCCAAAAACAACUAUGCCAAAAGAAACUGUUCUUUGCAUCUAUCUCCAGAGUGCUUAUCACUGUAGCACAACUACACCAUUUGUUCUUGAGCCAUUGAUAUAAAUUGUUUGAUACCAAACCUGGCACAGAACAAUGGUCAAUGAUGUUGGUGAACCCAGUUGAUUAAUUCUGGCUCCACUCUUGGCACAGUUCUUUUCCUUCCUCCUGUUCUAGAAAGCUCCCAGUUUCCGCUGCUGCUUUGGGAGGUCAUUAGCAACUGUUUGUUGACUGGCCCUCAAGAACAGAACAUGUCAUAGGAAGUUAUGUGACAGACAGAUCCUAACCUGGACUGGUGUGUAGUUUCAAUACUUUGGGCAAACUAUUUACCUAAUAAUGGGUGUCUACAAAAACAACAA
This 1112-nucleotide long non-coding RNA is filed under the name Homo sapiens (human). RNAcentral's name for it is "long intergenic non-protein coding RNA 1740". The record is from RNAcentral. Lineage: Eukaryota; Metazoa; Chordata; Mammalia; Primates; Hominidae.